RNAcentral lists this small nucleolar RNA (93 nucleotides) under Triticum aestivum (bread wheat). RNAcentral's name for it is "Small nucleolar RNA SNORD25". It matches the Rfam family "Small nucleolar RNA SNORD25". Rfam says of the family: U25 is a member of the C/D class of snoRNA which contain the C (UGAUGA) and D (CUGA) box motifs. The record is from Rfam by way of RNAcentral. Lineage: Eukaryota; Viridiplantae; Streptophyta; Magnoliopsida; Poales; Poaceae.
ACAGCUGUGAUGAGCCCAUUUUACAGUUACAGACCUGUAAUGACUCCUGUGGAAAUGAUCGCAUGGUCAAAGACGAGGGAAAACAUGGUUGAA